GACGAACGCUGGCGGCGUGCCUAAUACAUGCAAGUCGAACGCACUCUCGUUAGAUUGAAGAAGCUUGCUUCUGAUUGAUAACAUUUGAGUGAGUGGCGGACGGGUGAGUAACACGUGGGUAACCUGCCCUAAAGUGGGGGAUAACAUUUGGAAACAGAUGCUAAUACCGCAUAAAACCUAGCACCGCAUGGUGCAAGGUUGAAAGAUGGUUUCGGCUAUCACUUUAGGAUGGACCCGCGGUGCAUUAGUUAGUUGGUGAGGUAAAGGGCUCACCAAGACCGUGAUGCAUAGCCGACCUGAGAGGGUAAUCGGCCACACUGGGACUGAGACACGGCCCAGACUCCUACGGGAGGCAGCAGUAGGGAAUCUUCCACAAUGACGAAAGUACUGAUGGAGCAACGCCGCGUGAGUGAAGAAAGG
RNAcentral lists this ribosomal RNA (420 nucleotides) under uncultured bacterium. RNAcentral's name for it is "bacterial SSU rRNA". It matches the Rfam family "Bacterial small subunit ribosomal RNA", at positions 28 to 415 of the family's 1533-position model. The record is from RNAcentral.